UCUCCGUUGGUGAACCAGCGGAGGGAUCAUUACAGGACUCGCAAGGCUCCCGUAACCACUGUGAACUUACCUAUAUUCGUUGCCUCGGCGGGUGCCCUAGACUCAUAUCUAGGGCAUUCAACCCGCCGGUGGCCUACAACUCUGUCUCGCGCGUUGGCAUCUCCGAGUCAUUUUAAACGAGUCAAAACUUUCAACAACGGAUCUCUUGGUUCUG
Molecule: unclassified non-coding RNA, 214 nt
Filed under: plant metagenome
Description: partial contains small subunit ribosomal RNA, internal transcribed spacer 1, and 5.8S ribosomal RNA
Source: RNAcentral